This 492-nucleotide ribosomal RNA is filed under the name uncultured bacterium. RNAcentral's name for it is "partial 16S ribosomal RNA". It matches the Rfam family "Bacterial small subunit ribosomal RNA", at positions 29 to 507 of the family's 1533-position model. The record is from RNAcentral.
AGUGAACGCUGGCGGUAGGCCUAACACAUGCAAGUCGAACGGCAGCACAGUAAGAGCUUGCUCUUACGGGUGGCGAGUGGCGGACGGGUGAGGAAUACAUCGGAAUCUACUUUUUCGUGGGGGAUAACGUAGGGAAACUUACGCUAAUACCGCAUACGACCUACGGGUGAAAGCAGGGGAUCUUCGGACCUUGCGCGAUUGAAUGAGCCGAUGUCGGAUUAGCUAGUUGGCGGGGUAAAGGCCCACCAAGGCGACGAUCCGUAGCUGGUGUGAGAGGAUGAUCACCCACACUGUAACUGAGACACGGUCCACACUCCCACGGGUGCAAGCAGGGGGGAAUUGUGGACAAGGGGUCCAAGCUGGACCCACCCAUACCGCGGGGGAAAAAAAGGCUUGGUGUUUGAAAGCCCUUUUUGUGGGGAAAAAAAACCAGCAGUUUAAUACCCCGCUGUUCGAAGGGUACCCAAAAAAAAACACCCGACAAACUUGGCC